Molecule: ribosomal RNA, 229 nt
Filed under: uncultured bacterium
Lineage: Bacteria
Description: partial 16S ribosomal RNA
Rfam family: Bacterial small subunit ribosomal RNA
Source: RNAcentral
AGUGUAGGCGGCUUCGUAAGUCGGAUGUGAAAGCCCCGGGCUUAACCUGGGAAUUGCAUUCGAUACUGCGCGGCUAGAGUUUGGUAGAGGGAAGUGGAAUUCCAGGUGUAGCGGUGAAAUGCGUAGAUAUCUGGAGGAACAUCAGUGGCGAAGGCGGCUUCCUGGAUCAAAACUGACGCUGAGGCUCGAAAGCGUGGGGAGCAAACAGGAUUAGAUACCCUGGUAGUCC